RNAcentral lists this transfer RNA (70 nucleotides) under Barbatula sp. YW-2106. RNAcentral describes it as "tRNA-Thr". It matches the Rfam family "tRNA". From Rfam's summary of the family: Transfer RNA (tRNA) molecules are approximately 80 nucleotides in length. Their secondary structure includes four short double-helical elements and three loops (D, anti-codon, and T loops). The record is from RNAcentral. Lineage: Eukaryota; Metazoa; Chordata; Actinopteri; Cypriniformes; Nemacheilidae.
GCCCUAGUAGCUUAAUUGAAAGCAUCGGUCUUGUAAUCCGAAGAUUGAGGUUAAAUCCCUCCCUAGUGCC